CCUACGGGAGGCAGCAGUGGGGAAUAUUGCACAAUGGGGGAAACCCUGAUGCAGCGACGCCGCGUGAGUGAAGAAGUAUUUCGGUACGUAAAGCUCUAUCAGCAGGGAAGAAAAUGACGGUACCUGACUAAGAAGCCCCGGCUAACUACGUGCCAGCAGCCGCGGUAAUACGUAGGGGGCAAGCGUUAUCCGGAUUUACUGGGUGUAAAGGGAGCGUAGACGGCAGCGCAAGUCUGGAGUGAAAUCCCAUGGCUUAACCAUGGAACUGCUUUGGAAACUGUGCAGCUAGAGUGCAGGAGAGGUAAGCGGAAUUCCUAGUGUAGCGGUGAAAUGCGUAGAUAUUAGGGGGAACACCAGUGGCGAAGGCGGCUUACUGGACUGUAACUGACGUUGAGGCUCGAAAGCGUGGGGAGCAAACAGGAUUAGAUACCCCAGUAGUC
This 440-nucleotide ribosomal RNA is filed under the name uncultured bacterium. Its description in RNAcentral is "partial 16S ribosomal RNA". It matches the Rfam family "Bacterial small subunit ribosomal RNA", at positions 338 to 795 of the family's 1533-position model. The record is from RNAcentral.